Odontomachus brunneus is the source of this 1520-nucleotide long non-coding RNA. RefSeq lists it as uncharacterized. The record is from RefSeq and is a predicted model, not a curated record. NCBI's taxonomy places the organism in Eukaryota, Metazoa, Arthropoda, Insecta, Hymenoptera, Formicidae. The transcript is spliced from 6 exons.
UUAAAGGCCAAAUUACAUUAGCAAUUGGCGACUGAUGAUUGACAAUUAAAGAUUAGAUUUUAACGAAUCAACAAGCUUCAGCUUUGGCUUGCUUUGUUCCAAUUAGUCAAGUUCUAAUCUUUAAUCGUCAAUCGCUAAUGUGAUUUGGCCUUUACACAGUUUAUCUUAUUUAUUUGUUUUCAAAUAGAACCGCGACUUCACGUUAGCGUGUUUGACGUUACGGACCGUAAUAAGUACAAUAAGCAUUAUAAACACCACGGAGAGUGCUUCUCUGAUGUGUAAAAUAAAGAGAAAAAGAGCAUCUCUGAAGUUUUCAUCACUUCCGAAAUCACGAUCUGGCAAAAGUUGACAGCCGUCCAGACCCGUUGAUAAGCACUUGAGCAGCAGGAGAUACGGUAACGUCUUGCCCAGCCUAAUCACUCCUGCGGCACUAGUACUUAGGAACAGGACAGGACAUUCUCGAUUCAUCUUUUCUAGUGCAUUCUUCGAAGGAUUCUUUUAGCUUGUCCUUUCUGCAAACAAAGUAUAAGGACACCCUGUAAACGGAGCGGCUGGCUCUUUCGGCGUUGGUGGUAGCAAAGACGCGAAAAAACGAGAGACGGCAAAAAGAGGGAGAGCCAGUCGUGGGAUAAGAUAAGGGGGAGGGAUGUCAAUUAACGUUAAUUCUCGUUAAUGUCGCUGGUCCCUCUUCGUCAAACGCUGUCCCCCUCGAUUCGAAAAUGACUCGUCUGCGGGUGUAUUUAAUGAUGCACCAGUGGUGCGCAUACCAGAUUCGAAAAGUACGGAAAAGACCGACCUCACGUUUUUGAAAUUCGAGGAUCCGUCAUUGAGAGCGAGAGAAACAUUGAAUCAAUCGAGGACUCUACGAAACAUCUAACUAAACUCCGCAGACUUAUCCUGGACGCGCGACGUAUGAAUGCUUCACAUUACUAACGAUUCUCUUCGACACGUCAUCGUAUCUAUGUGGCACAACGGUUUCAAGUGGAAUGCCAGGGGAAAUUGCCGACGAAGUUACGCAUGCACAGGGAAACUCGGGACGGAGAAAAUACUCGGUAGAGCACAGCGAGCGACGAGUGAUUCCGAGAGGAGUCGAUUAAAUUGGGUAGAAUGCGCUGCGUGGGCCCGUACGCCGGAUACUCGCCGAAUGAAUCUCAUCCCGAGAGAGGAAGUUCAAAUUAAGUCGAGCGAGCCACUGUCAAACGGCUAUGAGUUUUCUAUCUUUCUCGCUCUCGUGUAAACUUGCAUUCAUUCCAUUGCAAUCCUUCCCCUCUUCCCUCGUUUUUGUCGCCUUUCAGCAUCAAUCAAUAGCAUUUCUCAACAAAUUGGAAUAUGUACUACCGCUGCAGUCAUAAUAAAAUUUUCUGUAGUUUUUUUUAAUUUUUCGUUAAGAGUUAAAUAAGUAAAUAGGAUAAACAGAGUGAAUUGAAAUCUGCAAUGGAUAAAAAGAGAUAAUUAGAUGAUGUGUAUAGAGAUAAAUUGAAUAAAGCGAGCUCGACGAAAAAGUUCGAAAGUGCAGAAUA